RNAcentral lists this unclassified non-coding RNA (366 nucleotides) under Ulex europaeus subsp. europaeus. Its description in RNAcentral is "partial contains external transcribed spacer and 18S ribosomal RNA". The record is from RNAcentral. Lineage: Eukaryota; Viridiplantae; Streptophyta; Magnoliopsida; Fabales; Fabaceae.
UGUUCACUCGUGGUUCUUGUGUUGCUACCCAUUUAGCGGUAUUCAUGUGCCUCUUAAGACCCGUUCAAUCCAGACCCCUUCUAGGGGGAGUGCUGGUGAGUUCGAAAGUGAUGCAUGUUUUGCGUUAGCUGUGCAUUGCAACGGUUGGCGUGCUAACAUGUGUCUAAUGUUCCCUCGGAUGUGGUGCAUGCGGUGAACGUGGGCUGACGAUUGUGCCCCGUUGAGUCCCUUUUAAUUAUCGGUUGCCUUGAAUGACACUUUGUCGUAGUGCUAGUGUUGCCUUACCAUUCGUGGUGUCAACACUAGUAUGUCGAGCAGAGUCGUUGAUGGAUGCUACCUGGUUGAUCCUGCCAGUAGUCAUAUGCU